This 479-nucleotide ribosomal RNA is filed under the name uncultured bacterium. Its description in RNAcentral is "bacterial SSU rRNA". It matches the Rfam family "Bacterial small subunit ribosomal RNA", at positions 96 to 562 of the family's 1533-position model. The record is from RNAcentral.
UGGCGAACGGGUGAGUAACACGUGGGAAAUCUGCCUAUGAGUGGGGGAUAACAUUCGGAAACGGAUGCUAAUACCGCAUACAUUCUUGGACCGCCUGGUCCUUGAAAGAAAGACGGCUUUGCUGUCGCUUAUAGAUGAUCCCGCGGCGUAUUAGUUAGUUGGUGGGGUAAUGGCCUACCAAGACCAUGAUACGUAGCCGACCUGAGAGGGUGAUCGGCCACACUGGGACUGAGACACGGCCCAGACUCCUACGGGAGGCAGCAGUAGGGAAUCUUCCACAAUGGGUGCAAACCUGAUGGAGCAAUGCCGCGUGAAUGAAGAAGGUCUUCGGAUCGUAAAGUUCUGUUAUUAGAGAAGAACAAGUCAAGGAGUAACUGUCUUGACUUUGACGGUACCUAACCAGAAAGUCACGGCUAACUACGUGCCAGCAGCCGCGGUAAUACGUAGGUGACAAGCGUUGUCCGGAAUUAUUGGGCGUA